RNAcentral lists this long non-coding RNA (226 nucleotides) under Elaeis guineensis (African oil palm). RNAcentral's name for it is "long non-coding RNA (EGUI_LNC050343)". Lineage: Eukaryota; Viridiplantae; Streptophyta; Magnoliopsida; Arecales; Arecaceae. The record is from RNAcentral.
GAGGGAGCAGAGGAUUGAUAGCGACAGUUUAUGAUCGCCUCGUCGUGGGCCAUACGGAGCCAGGAAGAAUUUAUCAUGAAGAGUAAUGAGGUGGAGUCGUGGCUAUCACCAUAGCUCGCCACGUGGAAUCAUUUGCAGGGAGUGGAGCGACGUCCGUUGUCGUAACUCGCCAGGGAGUAGUGGAACUACACAGAGUAUCCGUUGCAGGAAGUGGAGAAAAAUUGUG